Molecule: long non-coding RNA, 763 nt
Filed under: Sus scrofa (pig)
Lineage: Eukaryota; Metazoa; Chordata; Mammalia; Artiodactyla; Suidae
Description: lncRNA (ENSSSCG00055019396.1)
Source: RNAcentral
AAAACACAAAGCUGAGGGAGCCCUCAGUGACCUCAGACGUCAGUAUUGAAAAAGAGGUGGGAGAUCUCCAGGUGACAAUGAAGAAACUCAAAAAGAUGUUUGGGAUACUGUUUUCUUGAUUUCCUUAAAGUGGAAUGUCCCUGCAUUUUUGGGAGUGGAAAAAGAACUGAUGAGGAUGACAGCAAAUCCAUUGCCCAUAUGAGUGGGACCAGUUCCACAAGGUCAACCCAGAUGCAGAACGGUUGCAGUGGUUAGAUCCAAAACAUCCCCGGCGUGGCCUUCAUUGUACGUGACUUGUUAGCUUCUUACCUAGAGUGGGGCAUCCUACAGAUGCUGUCGUGUGGAGAGUUACAGCAUGUAGAAUCUAAAUCUUACCCUGGGGUCCUUUUAGAAGGUCAGCUCUUUUUUGCUGUGUUUCAAUGAAAACGUUGUGCCCUCUGGUUAAAUACACCUGUUUUGUCCUGACAAAAGUCUUAGCGGAUAAAUGUUUUUAAAUUGGUUAAAAAAAUAAAAUCACAUGCUCAGAUCAAAGCUAUACAAGACAUUCACUGACAUUAUUAGAUUCAUACGGUUGCCAACUUUGUAGCUAAACUAUAACAUCUACUUCCAAUAUUCAAUACUAGAAAACUAGUCAAAGGGGGUGACCAUCCUUGCUUUGCUGUCAAUUAGCCUUGUGGUCUUGGACAUGUCACCAGCCAGGUUUGAUCCAUUUUCUCGUCUGUAAAACAAGCAGUUUGGCCUUUUGGGCCUGGGGCACUCUCAG